GACGAACGCUGGCGGCGUGCCUAAUACAUGCAAGUAGAACGCACAGUUUAUACCGUAGCUUGCUACACCAUAGACUGUGAGUUGCGAACGGGUGAGUAACGCGUAGGUAACCUGCCUGGUAGCGGGGGAUAACUAUUGGAAACGAUAGCUAAUACCGCAUAAUAUUAAUUAUUGCAUGAUAAUUAAUUGAAAGGUGCAAUUGCACCACUACCAGAUGGACCUGCGUUGUAUUAGCUAGUAGGUGAGGUAACGGCUCACCUAGGCGACGAUACAUAGCCGACCUGAGAGGGUGAUCGGCCACACUGGGACUGAGACACGGCCCAGACUCCUACGGGAGGCAGCAGUAGGGAAUCUUCGGCAAUGGACGAAAGUCUGACCGAGCAACGCCGCGUGAGUGAAGAAGGUUUUCGGAUCGUAAAGCUCUGUUGUAAGAGAAGAACGGGUGUGAGAGUGGAAAGUUCACACUGUGACGGUAUCUUACCAGAAAGGGACGGCUAGCUACGUG
This 505-nucleotide ribosomal RNA is filed under the name uncultured bacterium. RNAcentral's name for it is "partial 16S ribosomal RNA". It matches the Rfam family "Bacterial small subunit ribosomal RNA", at positions 28 to 507 of the family's 1533-position model. The record is from RNAcentral.